This 559-nucleotide ribosomal RNA is filed under the name Alternaria brassicae. Its description in RNAcentral is "eukaryotic LSU rRNA". The stretch from base 180 to 333 matches the Rfam family "5.8S ribosomal RNA". The record is from RNAcentral. Lineage: Eukaryota; Fungi; Ascomycota; Dothideomycetes; Pleosporales; Pleosporaceae.
GCAGACGUGUAGAGCAUAGCGUACAUUCGAGUACGAGGUUUCCGUAGGUUACAGCCUUGCUGAAUUAUUCACCCUUGUCUUUUGCGUACUUCUUGUUUCCUUGGUGGGUUCGCCCACCACUAGGACAAACAUAAACCUUUUGUAAUUGCAAUCAGCGUCAGUAACAAAUUAAUAAUUACAACUUUCAACAACGGAUCUCUUGGUUCUGGCAUCGAUGAAGAACGCAGCGAAAUGCGAUAAGUAGUGUGAAUUGCAGAAUUCAGUGAAUCAUCGAAUCUUUGAACGCACAUUGCGCCCUUUGGUAUUCCAAAGGGCAUGCCUGUUCGAGCGUCAUUUGUACCCUCAAGCUUUGCUUGGUGUUGGGCGUCUUGUCUCUAGCUUUGCUGGAGACUCGCCUUAAAGUAAUUGGCAGCCGGCCUACUGGUUUCGGAGCGCAGCACAAGUCGCACUCUCUAUCAGCAAAGGUCUAGCAUCCAUUAAGCCUUUUUUUCAACUUUUGACCUCGGAUCAGGUAGGGAUACCCGCUGAACUUAAGCAUAUCAAAAGCCGGAAGAAAAAA